AACGAACGCUGGCGGCAUGCCUAACACAUGCAAGUCGAACGAAGGCUUCGGCCUUAGUGGCGCACGGGUGCGUAACGCGUGGGAACCUGCCCCCUCGGUUCGGAAUAACAGUUAGAAAUAGACUGCUAAUACCGGAUGAUGACUUCGGUCCAAAGAUUUAUCGCCGAGGGAUGGGCCCGCGUAGGAUUAGCUAGUUGGUGGGGUAAAGGGCCUACCAAGGCGACGAUCCUUAGCUGGUCUGAGAGGAUGAUCAGCCACACUGGGACUGAGACACGGCCCAGACUCCUACGGGAGGCAGCAGUGGGGAAUAUUGGACAAUGGGCGAAAGACCUGAUCCAGCAAUAGCCGCGUGAGUGAUGAAGGCCUUAGGGUUGUAAA
RNAcentral lists this ribosomal RNA (378 nucleotides) under uncultured bacterium. Its description in RNAcentral is "bacterial SSU rRNA". It matches the Rfam family "Bacterial small subunit ribosomal RNA", at positions 29 to 429 of the family's 1533-position model. The record is from RNAcentral.